RNAcentral lists this ribosomal RNA (659 nucleotides) under uncultured Peptostreptococcaceae bacterium. RNAcentral's name for it is "bacterial SSU rRNA". It matches the Rfam family "Bacterial small subunit ribosomal RNA", at positions 94 to 772 of the family's 1533-position model. Lineage: Bacteria; Bacillati; Bacillota; Clostridia; Peptostreptococcales; Peptostreptococcaceae. The record is from RNAcentral.
AGCGGCGGACGGGUGAGUAACGCGUGGGUAACCUGCCCUAUACACAUGGAUAACAUACUGAAAAGUUUACUAAUACAUGAUAAUAUAUAUUUGUGGCAUCGCAGAUAUAUCAAAGUGUUAGCGGUGUAGGAUGGACCCGCGUCUGAUUAGCUAGUUGGUGAGAUAACUGCCCACCAAGGCGACGAUCAGUAGCCGACCUGAGAGGGUGAUCGGCCACAUUGGAACUGAGACACGGUCCAAACUCCUACGGGAGGCAGCAGUGGGGAAUAUUGCACAAUGGGCGAAAGCCUGAUGCAGCAACGCCGCGUGAACGAUGAAGGUCUUCGGAUCGUAAAGUUCUGUUGCAGGGGAAGAUAAUGACGGUACCCUGUGAGGAAGCCCCGGCUAACUACGUGCCAGCAGCCGCGGUAAUACGUAGGGGGCUAGCGUUAUCCGGAUUUACUGGGCGUAAAGGGUGCGUAGGUGGUCCUUCAAGUCGGUGGUUAAAGGCUACGGCUCAACCGUAGUAAGCCGCCGAAACUGGAGGACUUGAGUGCAGGAGAGGAAAGUGGAAUUCCCAGUGUAGCGGUGAAAUGCGUAGAUAUUGGGAGGAACACCAGUAGCGAAGGCGGCUUUCUGGACUGCAACUGACACUGAGGCACGAAAGCGUGGGUAGCAAA